UCGCUUCGAGCGCCGUGGGCAGGAGCGGGGGAACCAGGUAAGUGCCGCGUCACGCGGCUAGGGGUGGAGCCGCACUCGGGAGAGUGCGGCCGGGCAACUUCACUGGCCCGAACCCGACAGCUCACCUCGCAGGCGUCGGUGAGGGGAUCA
RNAcentral lists this small RNA (150 nucleotides) under Streptomyces sp. RNAcentral's name for it is "c-di-AMP sequence". It matches the Rfam family "c-di-AMP riboswitch aptamer (ydaO/yuaA leader)". Rfam says of the family: This family represents a conserved RNA structure found upstream of the ydaO and yuaA genes in Bacillus subtilis and related genes in other bacteria. The ydaO/yuaA element is thought to act as a genetic "off" switch for the ydaO and yuaA genes in its native state. The record is from RNAcentral. Lineage: Bacteria; Bacillati; Actinomycetota; Actinomycetes; Kitasatosporales; Streptomycetaceae. RNAcentral also lists the same sequence under 1 other name.